Long non-coding RNA from Pezoporus occidentalis (night parrot), 1618 nucleotides. RefSeq lists it as uncharacterized. The record is from RefSeq and is a predicted model, not a curated record. The transcript has 2 exons. Lineage: Eukaryota; Metazoa; Chordata; Aves; Psittaciformes; Psittacidae.
GUGAGGUGCUGGUAUGGGGUUUCUGGUUUCCUGUAUGGUUAAUUUUACUUGUAGAGAAACUCUUUGCUGUUCUUUUCCCCCUCAUCUCCAGGUAUUGUCUGCAGGUAUUGCCACUGGUGACAGUGUAAUGGGAUGUGUGUGGUGGGAAGGUUGCAUUCCUGAAGGCUCCAUUUUAUCUCUUCGAUCAAAAACAUGAUUCCAAAGGAAAAGUUAAUUGGAACAACACAGUUUGUGCUAUUCUGCUUGCAAACCAUGACUCACAUCAAGAGCUAUCUCCUGCGGUCACUUUAAGGCAUGCACUGUGUUAAGCAGACUGGGUUAUAGUACUGACUCUGCAAAGAAGGGAGCUUGACAAAGGGUUUUCAUCAUGAAAUGAAUAUUUCAUCGCUGCUUAAGAGAUCUGGUGAAGAGAGAAAUGUAAUAAUCUGAGGUAUCAACUGUCCGUCUCUGCUGGCAAUGUGACUCAUGCCUCUCGCUUGUGAUACCUUCCCUCAUUGCUCCUCCUCUCAGGAGGAAGAGAAUGUAUGUAAUGUUUUACUUUGGACAGCCCAGUUUUUCUCUAGGUUUGAAGAGGCUGUUUCUGGAGCCUGUCUUGCUGCCCUCUCAUUUAUUAUGAGGUAAAAGCUAAAAACAUCACGGUCACAUCCCCAUUGCCUUGGGAUCCCUAAUGCUUGUGUAUGGAUAGAAACAGUGGCAGAUGGGGCACGUUUCUAUCAUACUGCCUCAGAGUUGCUCUUGCAGCUGAAGACUGCAGGGAAUGGAUAGGUUUUGCAGUGCUUAACUGCUUAUAAAGCCUAAUGCUCCCCAAAACGGCACAUCUCUUGCUUUGGGCAGGCUUGGGGUGGCACAAAGCUGGCAGUGCCACCUCCAGCUCUUGGAAGUACGUAACAGCUGAGUCCAUAAGUGAUCUUUCUCUGCUGGCUCGGGAAAAUGAACUAGCAUCUAGUUGAAAAGCUGGGAAUGAUCCAGAGACAAGGCUGUCGAUAGCCUUCCUUAGCCAGCUGCUUUCCAAAAACCAGUUGCAGGGAUAUCUCAUGUGGGUGCUUUGGCUGAUAACAAGGUUGUUUCUUUCCCAGUAUUUUCAUUCUGGUGUCAUUUCAGACUCUUCCUCCAUCUUGCUGUUUGUAGCUGAAUUUCUAGCUCAGGAUCAUAGAGAAGCAGAUUUUGAGCCCCCAAGAUGGUACCUAAUGAGGCAGGUUUGCUCUAGCAAAGUCAAUCAUCCAAGCAAAGCAUCUUCCUUCCUUGACCUAACCAUAAAUGAACAGCCAGCACUCACUAGACCUAAAAGAAGAUUAUCUUGUGUUGGCUCCUACUAGAUGCCAAACUGAAUUGAACUGCUUGGCAGCGUUAUGCUCCGGGGAUGCACGCUGGUCUCAUUUCUUGAGCCCUCAGCCCCUCGGGCUGUUUGGUCUGGCAAACCUUAAGCUAAUCCUACAAAUAUCCUUGCAUUUUAACAAGCAAAGUAUGUGGCAUUGAGAUGGAAAUUUAAUGAGAGGAGGCUGAGGAGCAACGCUGACAAAGCAGUGACCUUUCCUCUGUGGCAAGUCCGACCGGGUCCAUCCUGAGGUGCUGAGAUUAAUGAACACGUUGGUUCCAGCCAAGAGAAAAUGGGUGUUAU